GAUGAAGAACGCAGCGAAAUGCGAUAAGUAGUGUGAAUUGCAGAAUUCAGUGAAUCAUCGAAUCUUUGAACGCACAUUGCGCCCUUUGGUAUUCCUUAGGGCAUGCCUGUUCGAGCGUCAUUUAAACCUUCAAGCUCAGCUUGGUGUUGGGUGACUGUCCGCUUCACCGCGGACUCGCCUCAAAAUUAUUGGCGGCCGGUACAUUGGCUUCGAGCGCCGCAGAAACGCGAACUCGGGCCCGUCGUAUUGGCUCCCAGAAGCUAUCUUCACAAUUUUGACCUCGGAUCAGGUAGGGAUACCCGCUGAACUUAAGCAUAUCAAUAAGCGGAGGA
This 332-nucleotide unclassified non-coding RNA is filed under the name soil metagenome. Its description in RNAcentral is "partial contains 5.8S ribosomal RNA, internal transcribed spacer 2, and large subunit ribosomal RNA". The stretch from base 1 to 120 matches the Rfam family "5.8S ribosomal RNA", at positions 35 to 154 of the family's 154-position model. The record is from RNAcentral.